RNAcentral lists this ribosomal RNA (226 nucleotides) under uncultured bacterium. RNAcentral describes it as "partial 16S ribosomal RNA". It matches the Rfam family "Bacterial small subunit ribosomal RNA", at positions 538 to 763 of the family's 1533-position model. The record is from RNAcentral.
GCGUUAUCCGGAUUCACUGGGUUUAAAGGGUGCGUAGGUGGGAAUGUAAGUCAGUGGUGAAAUCUCCGUGCUUAACAUGGAAACUGCCAUUGAUACUAUGUUUCUUGAAUUUUCUGGAGGUAAGCGGAAUAUGUCAUGUAGCGGUGAAAUGCGUAGAUAUGACAUAGAACACCAAUUGCGAAGGCAGCUUCCUGGAGGGACAUUGACACUGAGGCACGAAGGCGUG